RNAcentral lists this ribosomal RNA (435 nucleotides) under uncultured bacterium. RNAcentral's name for it is "partial 16S ribosomal RNA". It matches the Rfam family "Bacterial small subunit ribosomal RNA", at positions 29 to 507 of the family's 1533-position model. The record is from RNAcentral.
AGCGAACGCUGGCGGCAGGCUUAACACAUGCAAGUCGAGCGGGCACUUUCGGGUGUCAGCGGCGGACGGGUGAGUAACGCGUGGGAACGUGCCCUCUGGUUCGGAAUAACUCAGGGAAACUUGAGCUAAUACCGGAUACGCCCUUUUGGGGAAAGGCUUGCUGCCGGAGGAUCGGCUCGCGUCUGAUUAGCUAGUUGGUGAGGUAACGGCUCACCAAGGCGACGAUCAGUAGCUGGUCUGAGAGGAUGAUCAGCCACACUGGGACUGAGACACGGCCCAGACUCCUACGGGAGGCAGCAGUGGGGAAUAUUGGACAAUGGGCGCAAGCCUGAUCCAGCCAGGCCGCGUGAGUGAUGAAGGCCUUAGGGUUGUAAAGCGCUUUUAUCCGGGACGAUAAUGACGGUACCGGAGGAAUAAGCCCCGGCUAACUUCGUG